Molecule: long non-coding RNA, 565 nt
Organism: Hibiscus syriacus
Lineage: Eukaryota; Viridiplantae; Streptophyta; Magnoliopsida; Malvales; Malvaceae
Exons: 3
Source: RefSeq, a predicted model, not a curated record
UUUUGGAUUUCCUAAAAGUUCCACUUUUGAAUUUCUUUCAAUUUAAUUUCUCACAAUCCUUGCUUCCUUGUUUCCUUGUUUCCUUGUUUCCUUGGUUCUCGUCUCAACCCUAAACCUAGAAACCUAGAAAUCAAAUAUGUUCCAAAAUUUUAAUGAAUAAAUACGAGUAGAACUCAUUCAGCACGAGGGGGGAUCGAGAAAGAGGGGAAAGAAGAGAUAGAUUAGUGGUCGUUGCGGUAGACAAGGACAAAUACAGCCUGCAAGCUCUCCACUGGGAUGUUGAUAAUUUCCUCAUCAGAGGCCAAACCUUGAGGCUCGUUCAUGUUCUUCAUAAACCAAUCAGCCCUGUUAAUCCAGAUGAUGGUAGCGUUGUUAUUGAUCCACAAGUUGUCAGAACAUGGACUUCUUCCUUCGACUUCGAAGCUUAUGCGCCCGUAAACAGAUACAGUGUGAAGCAGUUGUACUAGAGGAUUCAGAUGUUGCAAAAGCACUUGUCGGAUAUGUUCACCAAUAUGAAAUUGAAACUCUGUUUGUUGGUGCAGCAUCAAAGACUGGAAUUUCAAUG